This 503-nucleotide long non-coding RNA is filed under the name Populus trichocarpa (black cottonwood). Its description in RNAcentral is "long non-coding RNA (PTRI_LNC004217)". The record is from RNAcentral. Lineage: Eukaryota; Viridiplantae; Streptophyta; Magnoliopsida; Malpighiales; Salicaceae.
UGGACAUGAAAAUGAAGAUAAGAGAUUUGGGGUGGUUGCCAUAAUCUUCAAUCCUGGGUAGGGAAGAUGUAGGUCUUUGAAUCUAACAUGCUUGCUAGGUUUGCUUUGGCCUUGGCCUCUUUUGAGAUAUUUUCUUGUCUUCAUGGAAGUAGAAGAGAAGAGUGAGUGCUUUCCUAACCCUCCCUAGCAUUAACAUCGUUCUUUAUCAAAACCUAAACCCUAGGUUAGGUUCUAAAAAUAAUGCAAACAAAAAAUCAGUUUGUGUUGCUUGUAAGAGAUGAGUUGCUUGUGAAUAUUGAGGAUAUUGUUAAAUUGAUUUGGGAAUAAAGUAAGGAAAAAGAAAGAGAUUGGGUGAAAAGACCGGUGAUGGAAGAAAGGGUUGUCGACUGUCGAGGAUGAAGAGAUCGGUGGUGGUGCUUUUUGUUGAUAAUGGAGGUCUAGUUUGGAAGGAGGGCUAUUAGGGCGAAAGUAUUGCAUCAUGAAAAGAUAAAAUUGAAUUAUUU